This is a non-coding RNA of Pimephales promelas (fathead minnow), 3159 nucleotides long. NCBI's taxonomy places the organism in Eukaryota, Metazoa, Chordata, Actinopteri, Cypriniformes, Leuciscidae. The record is from RefSeq and is a predicted model, not a curated record.
CAUCACCAGAAACUUGGGAGACUUUAACAGUGCUUGCUUGAAUGUAACUGAGCAGAGAGAAGGAAGUAGGCUACUCCAAUAUUAUGGCAGACAAAGGACCUAUUUUGACCUCAGUCAUCAUUUUCUACUUGUCCAUCGGAGCCGCGAUAUUUCAAAUUCUCGAAGAGCCUAAUUUGCAAUCGGCUUUAAAAGAUUAUAAAGAUAAAACUGACAUAUUAUUAAAUAAAUAUCCUUGUUUAAAGAAGGAUGAUCUGGAUGAUAUCAUUAAGGUUAUGGCCGAGGCCGCUGGAAGAGGUGUGACUGUAACAACAGAGAAACAAUUCAACAACUGGAGUUGGGAGAAUGCCGUUAUUUUUGCUGCCACCGUCAUCACUACCAUAGGUUACGGUAAUGUUGCCCCGAAGACAACUGGAGGCCGUAUGUUCUGUAUCCUGUAUGGCCUCUGUGGCAUUCCUCUUUGCCUCACCUGGAUAAGUGAGCUGGGUACUUUCUUUGCCGGCAGGGCAAAGCGCCUGAGUCAGGUGCUCCUCCACAGAGGCCUCGCCGUGAAAAAAGUGCAGUUCAUCUGCACUCUUGUAUUCCUUUUAUGGGGUUUCCUGGUUCACUUGAUCAUCCCAGCCUUUGUAUUCAUGACCAUUGAGGACUGGACUUACUUGGAAGGCCUGUAUUUCUCUUUUACCACCAUGACGACUGUUGGUUUCGGUGACUAUGUAGCAGGUGUCAACCCAGAAAACAACUACCCGAAUCUCUACAGAUUCUUUGUGCAGCUAUGGAUCUGCCUGGGUCUUGCCUGGUUGUCACUGUUCUUCAGCUGGAAUGUGCAUAUGGUGGUCGAGGCUCAUAAAGUGCUGAAAAAAAGGAGGAUGAGACGCUACAAGCUGCCCAUUGAUGACGUCCCGGAUAAAAAAGAAGUCAAAAAAGCCCAGAAGCCGCCGGGUCUCAAUGGCGCCAUCGACAUCUUUGAGUUCAUGUCUGAGAAAGUCGAAGACUACACCGAUGUCAUCCAAGCUAUCGGAGCAGCCGAGAGAAAGAAAAAGAAGCAGGAGGAAGAACUGGCACGGUCUAAGAGCUGCAGUGACCUAUUGCAGGGCCUGAUAAUCCCACUCGAUCACUCUCCUCGACUGAAACGGCGGUUCAGCGUCAGUGCGAACAUGCGCAUGGACAUUUCUGGAGAGUUAACGGAUUGCCUCAACAAUAACCAAGAGGAACAGGCAUUACUGAAAAAGCAUCACAGUGUUCAAAAAGACCCUAAGAUUGAUAAAAAGGGAGUUAAGAGAGCUGAGAAGCCUGGACUCUGUUCAUGGGAAACCAGAAAAUCUGACCCAUCAAUCUUUCAGAGCUCUGUUCAAAGCCCUACCGUUACUACCAGUAAUAGGGGUUCGAGAUUCUCAGUGUCCAAAGUCUCAGAAGACCAUUUAGUAGGAAAGAGAAAAAGCAUUGGUUGAAGAAGAGACCGAUCUUCGAUGUCUUCAAAAACAGUUCAGCUCUGCUUUAAAUCUGUAGUGAGGGAACAAGAUUAUCCACGUCUAAAGUAUUGAAGACUAUUUGUUAAAAUGAAAUAGCAUUGGUUGAAGAAAAAGCUUAUCUACAAGGUCUAAAAGACUGAUCUACAAGGUUGUAGAUCGAAAGGUUGAUCCACAAAUUCUUCAAAAGCAAUUCAGCUCUGCUUUAAAUCAGCAGUAGGGGAUCAAGAUUCUCAGUGUCUAAUGUAUCAAAGACUAUUUGUUAAAGAGAAAAAGCAUUGGUUGGAGGAGAGACUGAUCUACAAGGUCUGAAAGACUGAUCUACAGUGUCUUCAAAAUCAGUAGGAGGGGAUCAAGAUUCUCAGUGUCUAAAGUUUCGGUAGACUAUUGGGGAAAAGAAAGGGCAUUGGUUGAAGAAGACUGAUCUACAAGGUCUGAAAGACUGAUCUACAAUGUCUUCAAAAUGAGGAGUAGGAAUCAAGAUUUUCUGUGUCUAAAGUUUCACCAGACUAUUGGGGGAAAGAAAGGGCAUUGACUGAGAAAGAAUUAUCUACAAGGUCUGAAAGACUGAUCUACAAUGUCUUCAAAAUCAGUAGUAGGAGUCAAGAUUCUCAGUGUCUAAAGUUUCGGUAAACUAUUGGGGAAAAGAAAGGGCAUUGGUUGAGGAAGAAUGAUCUACAAGGUCUAAAAGACUAAAGAAAAGACUGAUCUACAAGGUUGCAUAUAGACUGGUCUAAAAUGUCUUCAAAACAAUUCAGCUCUGCUUUAAAUCCUUAAUUUUCAGAUGUGAAGAUCAUUAGAUUGAACUGAUACUAGAGGAGCUAAAAAGAGUAACUUCAAGACCUAAGAAUGUUGCUCUGAUAUGCAGACCGUUGUGAACUCAAGCUGCAAAAUUAUUAAUUUCUUUUCACAGUAUUGAAAAACAUUCAGGUAACACACAUGGUCUUGCAGACAGUCUGCCCAAGAUAAGGAUAUGAGGGUUGGCAGAGGAAAUGAAACCGAUUUCCUUCCAUGCCCUGGACCUUCACAGACUUUGGACAGUUUGGGUGUGGUACUGUGGUUUUAACCAUGGGUUUUUCAUUCUUUCUCUGGAUUUAUGUUACCAAAAUGACGGCCAGGACAAACAUCUGGCUAUGUUUGAAAUGGAAUACUAGCACCCUGCUAACUGUGCAGUAUAUACAAAGUAUGUUAUAUAAAGUUUUAAAGUAGUUUAAAAUAACGACUUUUCAAGCAGGUCUUACAAACACUACUUGGUCGGACCAGAUAGCCCUGCCCUGAACUCAAGCCAUUGGUUGAGCAAAUAUUGCUGUAUCGGGAUGCUCAAGCAAACAGACCAAAGUUUUGAUACCAUUGCAGUGUUUUACAGUAUUGUCAGAUGGAAACAGUUAAAUAUUAAGCUGAAAUUGUCAAUAUCCAUAUUUAGUAUAGAUAGAUGGAAUAUUAAAUGAUAUCUAUUGAACCGAGAACUUCCCUUUCAAAAUAGUUUGUGAAACAGAAUGCAGUAUGAGUAUAAUGCUGUUGUUGUCACAACCUCGUAUGUAAUCUGUGUUUUAUCCAGUUAUCAUUUACAAGUUAAGGUUUUAACCAAUUUUAUGUAAACAAACAGUACAUUCUGAUCCCGAUAAAAUAACUUUUGUUUGAGAAAGGGCUGUUAGAAUUGUGCGUUUGAUUGUGGUUUCAGUUUAUUUCUAGUCAA